Molecule: long non-coding RNA, 735 nt
Filed under: Oryzias javanicus (javanese ricefish)
Lineage: Eukaryota; Metazoa; Chordata; Actinopteri; Beloniformes; Adrianichthyidae
Description: lncRNA (ENSOJAG00000001665.1)
Source: RNAcentral
UUGAAUUAAUAAUUUUGAAUCACACAGGUUUUGUCAAGAUUAUAUAUAUAUUUUUUUUGAUAAAUCAAUUAUGCAUCGUUUUACCAAAAUAGAUGUGCAUGUAUUUUUUUUUUUUUUUUGUUCGAGCCAGCCUUUGUGGGAGUUUCUGUAAGAUGCAUGAGCUGCGUCGAUCACUCGUUUAGUAUUUAAGAUGAGAUGCAAAGUUACUUCCUCCAGGCGGUCGCUCCAUCGCCGCGCGCCGCGUCCAUGUAACCUGCGCUCAGACAAACGCAGGGCGGCUGGCUGUCAGCACAGAUCAGUGGAGAGGCGUUUUGAUUCCCCUCGCUGUAUAUUGUCUGUAUAUUGUAUAUUGAUCACGCUGGGCGUUUUGAUCGCCUGAUGUAGAAAAGCAAAGCGCUUCGGAGUCAUCCCCGAGUCUGCUUCAACAGGAAACGACGCUAAACUGAAACCAGAGACGUCGAUGAAGCCAUGGAAAGAGCAUCGUCCACAGACAGGCGCAGAGCUUGGAUCAACAGCCCACAGUGGUCCACUUUUGAGGAACCUCAAGGGCUGCUUUCCUCCACCAUGAUUGAAGACAAUGUCUUUCCAGACAGCGAGAGAACAGAAAAAAUUGCGAGUUGGCUUCGUGACUGUAGGUCGGAGGCCGGAUCGGAGAACAGCGCUAGAGUCAGUUUUGGUAAGAACUAUUUUUAAAUUGGACACAAAAGUGAAUGCAAUGAUUUUUUUACAUCAUAU